Bufo bufo (common toad) is the source of this 1061-nucleotide long non-coding RNA. RefSeq lists it as uncharacterized. The record is from RefSeq and is a predicted model, not a curated record. The transcript has 3 exons. NCBI's taxonomy places the organism in Eukaryota, Metazoa, Chordata, Amphibia, Anura, Bufonidae.
GGAAAAGUUCAAGGGGUAAAAAUACUUUUUCAAGGCACUGUAUGUGCACCACUGUGGUCCCAGCCACUAGAGAGGUCAGUACCUUUUCCUUUAGCAUACAAGCACGGCCACUGCUGCUGGAUUGCAUGGUGGUCAUAACCUCUGGAUACAAGCCGUGUAUAAUGUAAUGGAAAAAUGAAUCCAGCCAGCAAAGAAUAUGGACAAUCACAAUACAUUAAUAAGUGCCUUGUAUUAAUUUGUUCUCCAUGGUAAAUGCCAUUUGCUGAAGUGAGACAACCCUUUUAAUACAAGAAAGUUUCUGAUAUGCCUUGGUUUUUUUAUACUUGAAAUUAAUGGAGCAAACGCAUUCAGAUGCAUGUAAUAUCUGGGUACUUUGUUCAUUUUCUACAGCACAUAACAGACAAAAAAAUCCAGUGAGGCUGAGCUGCAAUACCAAACACUGUCCAAAGAGGUGAGUGAGGUGGAUUCUAGCAGAAAAAAUAAAUAUUUUUUCCAAUCUUAGACACUCUGUUUAUGUUGGAUUAAAGAAAACAUUGCUUCACAUCACAUUUUGAGAUUGAAUGUGUCACAAACCUUCCUUGGAACCCCUUUAAACUGGUAUUUUUCUUCUUGCUUGUCCAUAUAAGUAUAUGAGAAAAUACUACUUUGGUAGGCCACACAUUUUAUUUGUGUUUCCAUUGUAAAAACAUUUAACAAAAAUACAAAACUAGAUAAUUAUAAUAUAGGGAAAUAGCUGGAUGAAGACAUCAGAGUCAAAACACUUGAUAUGUUUAUUAAUAAAUACACUUGGAAAAUACUGUAAAUCUGCAGUCUCUGAGGUCCUUAAAAGACAGCUUUCCAGUUCACUAGUCAUGAUUUUUUUUUACUGCAGAACAACUGCUGCCAUGGCCUACAAAAUAUUGUAGGUAUGAAGACUCUUAAUUUUGCAACAAUCCAGGAAAGAAUAGUCUUGAACAUUUGAAAUAUCAGUUAUAGAGUUCAUUUCCCUCAUGUUCGCCUAAGGCUACUUUCACACUUGCGGUAGCCUUUUCCGAAAGGCUGUUCCGGCUGGGCAACAGACU